UCGUUUAUUUGAUAGUACCUUACUACUUGGACAACCGUGGUAAUUCUAGAGCUAAUACAUGCUAAAAACCCCGACUCCGGGAGGGGUGUAUUUAUUAGAUAAAAAACCAAUGCCCUCCGGGGCUCUUUGGUGAUUCAUGAUAACUUAACGGAUCGCAUGGCCUUGCGCCGGCGACGGUUCAUUCAAAUUUCUGCCCUAUCAACUUUCGAUGGUAAGGUAUUGGCUUACCAUGGUCUCAACGGGUAACGGGAGAUUAGGGUUUGACUCCGGAGAGGGAGCCUGAGAAACGGCUACCACAUCCAAGGAAGGCAGCAGGCGCGCAAAUUACCCAAUCCCGACGCGGGGAGGUAGUGACAAUAAAUACUGAUACAGGGCUCUUUUGGGUCUUGUAAUUGGAAUGAGUACAAUUUAAACCCCUUAACGAGGAACAAUUGGAGGGCAAGUCUGGUGCCAGCAGCCGCGGUAAUUCCAGCUCCAAUAGCGUAUAUUAAAGUUGUUGCAGUUAAAAAGCUCGUAGUUGAAACUUGGGCCUGGCUGGCCGGUCCGCCUCACCGCGUGCACUGGCCCGGCCGGGCCUUUCCUCCUGGAGAGCCGCAUGCCCUUCACUGGGUGUGCCGGGGAACCAGGACUUUUACUUUGAAAAAAUUAGAGUGUUCAAAGCAGGCCUUUGCUCGAAUACGUUAGCAUGGAAUAAUAGAAUAGGACGUGCGGUUCUAUUUUGUUGGUUUCUAGGACCGCCGUAAUGAUUAAUAGGGAUAGUCGGGGGCAUCCGUAUUCAAUUGUCAGAGGUGAAAUUCUUGGAUUUAUUGAAGACGAACUACUGCGAAAGCAUUUGCCAAGGAUGUUUUCAUUAAUCAGUGAACGAAAGUUAGGGGAUCGAAGACGAUCAGAUACCGUCGUAGUCUUAACCGUAAACUAUGCCGACUAGGGAUCGGGCGAUGUUACUAU
This 948-nucleotide ribosomal RNA is filed under the name Mycopepon smithii. RNAcentral's name for it is "SSU rRNA". It matches the Rfam family "Eukaryotic small subunit ribosomal RNA", at positions 113 to 1069 of the family's 1831-position model. Lineage: Eukaryota; Fungi; Ascomycota; Dothideomycetes. The record is from RNAcentral.